UGAACGCUGGCGGCGUGCCUAAUACAUGCAAGUCGAGCGAACAGACGAGGAGCUUGCUCCUCUGACGUUAGCGGCGGACGGGUGAGUAACACGUGGAUAACCUACCUAUAAGACUGGGAUAACUUCGGGAAACCGGAGCUAAUACCGGAUAAUAUAUUGAACCGCAUGGUUCAAUAGUGAAAGACGGUUUUGCUGUCACUUAUAGAUGGAUCCGCGCCGCAUUAGCUAGUUGGUAAGGUAACGGCUUACCAAGGCAACGAUGCGUAGCCGACCUGAGAGGGUGAUCGGCCACACUGGAACUGAGACACGGUCCAGACUCCUACGGGAGGCAGCAGUAGGGAAUCUUCCGCAAUGGGCGAAAGCUUGACGGAGCAACGCCGCGUGAGUGAUGAAGGUCUUCGGAUCGUAAAACUCUGUUAUUAGGGAAGAACAAAUGUGUAAGUAACUAUGCACGUCUUGACGGUACCUAACCAGAAAGCCACGGCUAACUACGUG
Molecule: ribosomal RNA, 495 nt
Filed under: uncultured bacterium
Lineage: Bacteria
Description: partial 16S ribosomal RNA
Rfam family: Bacterial small subunit ribosomal RNA
Source: RNAcentral